UAAUGACUGUGUGCACAGGAGAAUUACCCUGUACCUGAGCCUCAACCUUCUGGGGGAAAGGGAACUACUUUUUCCUUAUCUGUACAAUACCAUGCUGCAGAUGGGUGACAGACAAUGAUAAGAAAUAGCACAGCCAGACUUGCUUCCUGCAUGAUCAUGAUCAUGAUAGGGAGAGACACAAGAGAUGGGAAACUGCUGUUCCACAAGGAGUCUCCAUAGAAUUUUGCAGCAGCCAGGUGUCUGGAAGGUCUGGAAGUGAGUCCUGUUCUUCCUUUUUCUUUCAGCAGAAAUGAAAUCCCAGUUCCUUACCCCUUCCCUUCUGACCCUG
Long non-coding RNA from Globicephala melas (long-finned pilot whale), 328 nucleotides. RefSeq lists it as uncharacterized. The record is from RefSeq and is a predicted model, not a curated record. NCBI's taxonomy places the organism in Eukaryota, Metazoa, Chordata, Mammalia, Artiodactyla, Delphinidae.